This 1675-nucleotide long non-coding RNA is filed under the name Cotesia glomerata. Its description in RNAcentral is "uncharacterized LOC123268981, transcript variant X1". Lineage: Eukaryota; Metazoa; Arthropoda; Insecta; Hymenoptera; Braconidae. The record is from RNAcentral.
AUACGCCACGACAUGUAACGAAUUAUUUUUUAUUUAAAAUGUAAAUGUUGAUGAUGUACGAUGAAUCAUGUAAGAUGUUUUCGUAAAAGGUAUGAUGAUUUAACGUCAAGAGUUCAUCAACUAUUGAAACAAGUAUUGUACUUGCGUUGUGUAGGAUGUUAAUUACACAAAACAAUCUUUUUUUACUCGUUCAAAUGAGAAUAAAAGUGAAAAUAUAAAUACCAUUAUUUUAACACGUAAACUUUGAUCACUGAAGCAAAACAGAGAAGACUAAGAAGAAUAAGAGUGACAACCAAACGUGAGUAAGCUAAACCACAAAUUGGUUACUCCACCGAGUACGGUGAUUCAUUUUCACAUGGGUAUUAUUGUACACCUUUUUGUAAAUUUUGUUUGGAAGAAAAAGUGAUGAAUCGCUUGAUACUGCUGCUGAACUCUUCUGUUCGUACAUGAGCCAUAAAGUACACGUAAUGUCAUUUGAGCCUACGCUGGUAGCAUUUUAAAUGAAAGGUCGUCGCAAUAUAAUAUAUAUAUAUGUAUUUAACAUUCAGCAUUUAUGUAUUGCAGUUGCCAGUCAGGAGUGAAAUAUCAAUGUAUGCCAACCAUGGAUCAACUAUCGAUAAAUAUUUUCACUUAAGAGAUUAAUAACUACUAGUAAAUAGCUAGUUAAAUAAAAAUUAGGUAUCGGCAUCGACUGUCACCGGAAGUUAAGAGAAAAAUUCUGUAGCAGAUAAACCGAGUUAGAAUAUUCUCAACAUUCUUUAAUUACGUAUGGACUUAAAAGGGAAAAAAUGAUCGGGGAUGCCGAUCGCUGACCCAUAAAAGUAUGUAACACACCUACUAUUAUACUUGAGAAGUAAACGGAAAACAUUUAAACGAGAAUAUAUUUGAAUAUCAUGUACAACACCACGGUGCGAUAUAUAUUUAUUGACGUAUAACUAUGGUUGUAUGCAGUGAGCCCAAGGCAGUUUUAAUUCAUUUUAGAUUAGACGUGAGUAAACGCUAAAAGCUUUAACGAUUAGAUCGUUCUAGGAUGAUAAGUGAUAUUUAAGUUACAGCUGAUAAUAAUAAUAAUGAUAAUUAAAUAAUGUUUGAGGAGUUUAUCGAAAGUAAACAAUUGUUUAUUGCCAGCUUAGGAUUUCUUUCUUGAUAAGGGAUGUGCUUUUGAUUGGCAGUAACCUUGAGGUCUUCAAGGCUAGUAAGUCCUCAGUUGCAGUUAAAGAAAGAUCUUCCGGAUAUAAAAGAAAGUUGGACGUGGACUUGGAUGGUUAUUGUUAUUAUCCACGCUGCAUAUUUGUAUACUGUACGGGUCGGUGCAACCAAUGUGUACUGCUCUAUGCAUUAUAGGUAGAUAUAAAUACAUAGAUAUGUAGAUGUAGAGUGAGGACUUGGGAACCCCAUAACUAUAAUUAGAGAAGAGUUACCACACUCGCAGUUCAUCGACCGUUACGCCUAUCCGUGCGCGCCAUUUCGCAUUCGAUGCAUCCAAGGAUUUCGUUUCGAGUCUUCAUAUGUAUUAAUAAAUUUAUAUAAACAUAUAUUAACCAUCCACGCGAUACGUCAACCCGUCUUUGCAUUCAUUUCCUCAGCUAUUCUUUGCUGAUUGUUGUGAUACACCUUGAGCAAUUGUUAUAAGUUAUAAAAAGUAACUUGUUAAAUAUUGAGCAAUUUUUUUUUU